RNAcentral lists this transfer RNA (284 nucleotides) under Limibacillus halophilus. RNAcentral describes it as "tRNA-Lys". The stretch from base 24 to 224 matches the Rfam family "Group I catalytic intron". Rfam says of the family: Group I catalytic introns are large self-splicing ribozymes. They catalyse their own excision from mRNA, tRNA and rRNA precursors in a wide range of organisms. The record is from RNAcentral. RNAcentral also lists the same sequence under 1 other name. Lineage: Bacteria; Pseudomonadati; Pseudomonadota; Alphaproteobacteria; Rhodospirillales; Rhodovibrionaceae.
GGGCGCGUAGCUCAGUGGUAGAGCAGCUGACUUUUAGUAUUGGGAGCCCGUCUUCGGAAACGUAGCGGUGAACAGGCGUCAAAUUCGGGGAACCCGUCCGCAUUCCAGCAACGGCAAUCCCGAGCCAAGCCUCGCAAGAGGAAGGUGUAGAGACUAGACGGCGCCCACCUAAAGCUUCGGCCAAGGUGAAGGGAUAGUCCAGACCACGAACCCGAGAGGGGCGGCGAAAGUCGAAGUGGUAUGUAAUCAGCGGGUCGAAGGUUCGAACCCUUCCGCGCUCACCA